GUUGGUGAACCACAAUAAUAUGAAAAGUGAACCUCGAGACUACCGUAAAUGGGUCGCGACACUAACGAGAGUGAACCACAAGACUCCUCGAAGUGGGCUGCAUCAAUCCAUUUUUCUCUUGAAAAUGAACCACUAAUUCUUGCUGAAAAGAGCUUCCCAACAAAUAACUUUUUACAUGCAAUACAUCAUAUACCAACCAGAACAUUCGAUACACAUAAAAAUCCAUAGACAACGAACUAAACUGCAUGCCCGCUUGCAUCGAGCAGCAAGCCACACACACCGCACUGCAUCACGGUAUUGCACGCGUGCAGACUGCACCACCGACGACAAGGUGCAACAUGCAACAAGCCAGAGUGUCCAGGCUACCAUGGCGACUACAAGCAGGAGCUGGCUGAACCACAUGGCCGUGCCAGCCGAACUACACAGAGAGAUUUAACAAAUUGCAUUAGAAACUGAAUUCACCCAAAUCAAUAGCAAAAAUCUAAAAAAUACACAAAAAUAUAUUUUUGUGACCUGCGAGCGCCUGUGAGCUGCAAACACCGUUCGAUGCGAGCGACUUUGUUGUUUGGCUGCCGCCGUCAUUCACACACACAUACAGGAACUCGCUUGGGAGCGUACUGUAGCACAACCACAUGACCGCCUACGGCAAACGGUAUUUUCCAUCUUGUGGGCUUUAUGUCGCUGGCCAGUGGAUCCACUCCCGCACUGAAACAUCUUACACAACCAGCUGCACUUCACCGAGGACCCAAGCGAACCGCCCUGCACAAGCAAGCAAAAAAUAUGAAUAACAUUUUUCACCUAAAAAUAUGAAUAACACAGAAAAAAAACAUCAAGGGCAUCGAUAGAUGAACCGCAUGGCCGAUCGAGCCGAACUUCACCGAAUCACCGAUCAACAAAGAUACCAAAACCGCAACGAGGCUAGUUCAGAAAAAGAAAAGAGAAACUACGACGGGGCACAAUCUGAAACUACAGGACCGUGAUAUCCAGAGGCAGAAGCGCCACCACAAACUCUCCUGCUGCUCCCACCGAAGUAGUAGCCGCCGCCAUCCUUCUCUCUACCAACAAGUGAGCCGCGAAGUGGUAGAAGAGAACUGCAGAUCCCAUCAUGGAAAGGACCAGGCGGAGAGGAAUCAACCGCGG
This 1140-nucleotide long non-coding RNA is filed under the name Triticum aestivum (bread wheat). Its description in RNAcentral is "long non-coding RNA (TAES_LNC011944)". The record is from RNAcentral. Lineage: Eukaryota; Viridiplantae; Streptophyta; Magnoliopsida; Poales; Poaceae.